AAAUAAGAAACAAAAUUUGUAUUUAGUUUCGACCUAACCCUUGGUAGCCGCCCUACCCUUAUUUA
RNAcentral lists this transfer RNA (65 nucleotides) under Staphylinidae sp. BMNH 1274642. Its description in RNAcentral is "tRNA-Arg". Lineage: Eukaryota; Metazoa; Arthropoda; Insecta; Coleoptera; Staphylinidae. The record is from RNAcentral.